This 338-nucleotide ribosomal RNA is filed under the name uncultured Burkholderiales bacterium. RNAcentral describes it as "bacterial SSU rRNA". It matches the Rfam family "Bacterial small subunit ribosomal RNA", at positions 8 to 348 of the family's 1533-position model. Lineage: Bacteria; Pseudomonadati; Pseudomonadota; Betaproteobacteria; Burkholderiales. The record is from RNAcentral.
AGAGUUUGAUCAUGGCUCAGAUUGAACGCUGGCGGCAUGCCUUACACAUGCAAGUCGAACGGCAGCGCGGGAGCAAUCCUGGCGGCGAGUGGCGAACGGGUGAGUAAUAUAUCGGAACGUGCCUUAGAGUGGGGGAUAACUAGUCGAAAGACUAGCUAAUACCGCAUACGACCUACGGGUGAAAGUGGGGGAUCGCAAGACCUCAUGCUCUUAGAGCGGCCGAUAUCUGAUUAGCUAGUUGGUGGGGUAAAAGCCUACCAAGGCGACGAUCAGUAGCUGGUCUGAGAGGACGACCAGCCACACUGGGACUGAGACACGGCCCAGACUCCUACGGGAGG